This 207-nucleotide ribosomal RNA is filed under the name uncultured bacterium. RNAcentral describes it as "partial 16S ribosomal RNA". It matches the Rfam family "Bacterial small subunit ribosomal RNA", at positions 568 to 774 of the family's 1533-position model. The record is from RNAcentral.
UUCGUAGGUGGCCAACUUAGUCAGACGUGAAAUCCCUCAGCUUAACUGGGGAACUGCGUCUGAUACUGGAUGGCUUGAGUGCAGGAGAGGAACGCGGAAUUCCAGGUGUAGCGGUGAAAUGCGUAGAUAUCUGGAGGAACACCGGUGGCGAAGGCGGCGUUCUGGACUGCAACUGACACUGAGGAACGAAAGCCAGGGGAGCAAACG